CAACAUUUUCACAUUUGUAGAAAAUGGCAGAAAAUAAGUCCAACGAGAGCAGAUAAAAAUGAAAGAGGCAUGCGGCCGUGAAGGGGCUUGCGAGUACUGUCUGGAGGGGAAGGUGGCUGCAGCCUGGAUAAAGAAAAAAAAUGGGAGAACCUCAAGGCAUCUAAAAUGUCUCUAUCUACAUCAUG
Oncorhynchus masou masou (cherry salmon) is the source of this 185-nucleotide long non-coding RNA. RefSeq lists it as uncharacterized. The record is from RefSeq and is a predicted model, not a curated record. NCBI's taxonomy places the organism in Eukaryota, Metazoa, Chordata, Actinopteri, Salmoniformes, Salmonidae. The transcript has 3 exons.